CUAUAAUGCAUCUCUUCAGAACUUGCCUCCAUGCAGGGCAUGAUGAAAAUAUUUACACUGACUUGUGUUGUAGCAGUGCUCAGCUUCUCCAGCUCAGAUCAGGGUCCUGCUGGGUUGAUGAUCUCCUGCAGAGCACAGUUCUUAUACAUGGGAACUCUGGAACUGAAUUUAAUUUCGCCUGAAGGCCAAAGGAAAAGCUGGGCUUUGGAGCACCAGGCAGAUCUGCUGUGGAAACAGUGGAUUAAAAUUAAACAGAAGAUGCCCAGGAAAAGAGUGACUCUGGCCACUUUCUCCAUUUGUUCUCUUGUUGUUGGACUGGGAGCUGCCCUCUGCUUAAGAGAAGAAGAAGGGAGCAGUUAAUAUAAUUGAAGUUCAUCUUCUGCUGCUCUGUGAUUAUGUGCUGGAACUGUAAUUUCUUCUGCUAUACCUUUUGGGACAGAAUUAUAUGGAUACAACCAAGGAGAAUGUCACCUGUGAGAUAAGUUAUCUAGAUAAGUGCCCCAAGAAAUUUUUUUGUAAAGCUGCAGUUUGUUUCCUAAUUUAAAAGAUGAAGGAGAAGAGUCUAAACUAGCUUCCCUGCCCAACCAAAAGCAUGAUCUGCAUUCCAG
This is a non-coding RNA of Sturnus vulgaris (Common starling), 608 nucleotides long. The record is from RefSeq and is a predicted model, not a curated record. Lineage: Eukaryota; Metazoa; Chordata; Aves; Passeriformes; Sturnidae.